Molecule: transfer RNA, 56 nt
Filed under: Radopholus similis
Lineage: Eukaryota; Metazoa; Nematoda; Chromadorea; Rhabditida; Pratylenchidae
Description: transfer RNA-His
Source: RNAcentral
AAAGCUUUUUUAUUUUUAUAAAUUUUUGUUUGUGGAACAUAAAGUUAAAAGCUUUA